AGAGUUUGUAUCCUGGCGUCAGGAUGAACGCUGGCGGCGUGCUUAACACAUGCAAGUCGAACGGACCCGAUAUUGAAACCUAAGUGAUAUAUGGGUUAGUGGCGGACGGGUGAGUAACGCGUGGGCGAACCUGCCUUACACAGGGGAGUAACACUUAGAAAUAGGUGCUAAAACCGCAUAAGCGCACAGCUUCGCAUGAAGCGGUGUGAAAAACUCCGGUGGUGUAAGAUGGACCCGCGUCUGAUUAGCUUGUUGGCGGGGUAACGGCCCACCAAGGCGACGAUCAGUAGCCGGCCUGAGAGGGCGGACGGCCACAUUGGGACUGAGACACGGCCCAGACUCCUACGGGAGGCAGCAGUGGGGAAUAUUGCACAAUGGGGGGAACCCUGAUGCAGCGACGCCGCGUGAGUGAAGAAGUAAUUCGUUACGUAAAGCUCUAUCAGCAGGGAAGAAAAUGACGGUACCUGAGUAAGGAGCCCCGGCUAACUACGUG
Molecule: ribosomal RNA, 493 nt
Filed under: uncultured Eubacteriales bacterium
Lineage: Bacteria; Bacillati; Bacillota; Clostridia; Eubacteriales
Description: bacterial SSU rRNA
Rfam family: Bacterial small subunit ribosomal RNA
Source: RNAcentral